GUUGUUCGGAAUUACUGGGCGUAAAGGGCGCGUAGGCGGCCUUCUAAGUCGAACGUGAAAUCCCCGGGCUCAACCCGGGAACUGCGUCCGAUACUGGAAGGCUUGAAUCCGGGAGAGGGAUGCGGAAUUCCAGGUGUAGCGGUGAAAUGCGUAGAUAUCUGGAGGAACACCGGUGGCGAAGGCGGCAUCCUGGACCGGCAUUGACGCUGAGGCGCGAAAGCCAGGGGAGCAAACGGG
Molecule: ribosomal RNA, 237 nt
Filed under: uncultured bacterium
Lineage: Bacteria
Description: partial 16S ribosomal RNA
Rfam family: Bacterial small subunit ribosomal RNA
Source: RNAcentral